This 67-nucleotide transfer RNA is filed under the name uncultured Ruminococcus sp. It matches the Rfam family "tRNA". Rfam says of the family: Transfer RNA (tRNA) molecules are approximately 80 nucleotides in length. Their secondary structure includes four short double-helical elements and three loops (D, anti-codon, and T loops). Lineage: Bacteria; Bacillati; Bacillota; Clostridia; Eubacteriales; Oscillospiraceae. The record is from RNAcentral.
GCGCUGUAGCCAAGUGGUAAGGCAUAGGUCUGCAACACCUUGAUCACCGGUUCAAAUCCGGUCGGCG